This 254-nucleotide ribosomal RNA is filed under the name uncultured bacterium. RNAcentral describes it as "partial 16S ribosomal RNA". It matches the Rfam family "Bacterial small subunit ribosomal RNA", at positions 524 to 776 of the family's 1533-position model. The record is from RNAcentral.
GACGAACCGUGCGAACGUUGUUCGGAAUCACUGGGCUUAAAGGGCGCGUAGGCGGUUCAGUAAGUCGGGUGUGAAACCUCCAGGCUCAACCUGGAGACGCCACCCGAUACUGCUGUGACUAGAGUCCAGUAGGGGAGCAUGGAAUUCCUGGUGUAGCGGUGAAAUGCGCAGAUAUCAGGAGGAACACCAGUGGCGAAGGCGGUGCUCUGGGCUGGAACUGACACUGAGGAGCGAAAGCGUGGGGAGCGAACAGG